AACGAACGCUGGCGGCAGGCUUAGCACAUGCAAGUCGAACGCCCCGCAAGGGGAGUGGCAGACGGGUGAGUAACGCGUGGGAAUCUACCGUGCCCUGCGGAAUAGCUCCGGGAAACUGGAAUUAAUACCACAUACGCCUUACGGGGGAAAGAUUCAUCGGGGUAUGAUGAGCCCGCGUUGGAUUAGCCAGUUGGUGGGGU
This 200-nucleotide ribosomal RNA is filed under the name uncultured bacterium. Its description in RNAcentral is "partial 16S ribosomal RNA". It matches the Rfam family "Bacterial small subunit ribosomal RNA", at positions 29 to 258 of the family's 1533-position model. The record is from RNAcentral.